UACGGAGGAUGCGAGCGUUAUCCGGAUUUAAUGGGUUUAAAGGGUGCGUAGGCGGACUGUCAAGUCAGCGGUAAAAUUGAGAGGCUCAACCUCUUCCCGCCGUUGAAACUGGUGGUCUUGAGUGGAUGAGAAGUACGCGGAAUGCGUGGUGUAGCGGUGAAAUGCAUAGAUAUCACGCAGAACUCCGAUUGCGAAGGCAGCGUACCGGCAUCCAACUGACGCUGAGGCACGAAAGCGUGGGUAGCAAAUAGG
Molecule: ribosomal RNA, 252 nt
Filed under: uncultured bacterium
Lineage: Bacteria
Description: partial 16S ribosomal RNA
Rfam family: Bacterial small subunit ribosomal RNA
Source: RNAcentral